GGUGAAGCAGGAGCCAGGGAGAGAGUGUGCAACGCCCAUGCCACAAACAGACAGACACACAGAGACUAAGGGAGGAGGAGAAAACACAGAGAAACAGAAGAAGAAAAAUGAGUUCCCUUUUCACUUCCCUUCCUUGCCCUGUUUGUAUAUUGGAUCACAGAGGGAUGUGUACAGUUCCAGAUUUUAACCUGGGCAUGUGUGUGACCCUUACAAAAGACAAGGAUGUCCUCCUGGCACUCGUCAGCAGUGAAGUGACUCGGCAGUAUGUGUGUGUGUGAGAUGUAUCCACCACAGAAUGAGAAGAAACAGCUGGGCAGGUGGCUCAUGUGGAACACCAAGGCGAAAAUCUUCAAUUGAACAAGGAUGUCAGGCCCAGACACUUAACGGCUGACGCAACAGAGGCAACUGCCACUGGCAAAACAUCACAAGACAGGCAGAUUUCAGCGUGGCACAAUGAAGUGAAGUAAAAAAGGAAGCGCUAUAAAGAAAAGGUCAUGAUUUUUGGAGGCUGAAAAACAUUUUUGCAGGUUCUGAUCAAAAUUGCACCCAAGAGAGAGACAGAGAAAGUGAGAGGGAAUGAUUGUGUUUGCGUCAGAGAGAGUGAGAGCAGCAAGAGGAACAUUAGACUUGUCAUCUUCUGUCAUCUGCCAUUAUCCAACAAAUCACAAACUAUUAGUGUUCUUCUUGUCUUUUUUUUUUUUUUUUUUUAGCCAAGUAGGAAUAACAUAAUAUGCCCAGUAGAUGGCUCUGACCCCUGGGGAAUCCAGUUAUGGUUUAUGUGCAAGUCAUAAAGUGCUUUUAGUUGAGGAAAGGCAUCUGGA
Molecule: long non-coding RNA, 821 nt
Organism: Myripristis murdjan (pinecone soldierfish)
Lineage: Eukaryota; Metazoa; Chordata; Actinopteri; Holocentriformes; Holocentridae
Exons: 3
Source: RefSeq, a predicted model, not a curated record